RNAcentral lists this ribosomal RNA (440 nucleotides) under uncultured bacterium. Its description in RNAcentral is "bacterial SSU rRNA". It matches the Rfam family "Bacterial small subunit ribosomal RNA", at positions 338 to 770 of the family's 1533-position model. The record is from RNAcentral.
CCUACGGGUUGCACCAGUGGGGAAUAUUGGACAAUGGGGGCAACCCUGAUCCAGCAAUGCCGCGUGUGUGAAGAAGGCCUGAGGGUUGUAAAGCACUUUCAGUUGGGAAGAAAAGCGGGAGGUUAAAACCCUCUUGACUUGACGUUACCGACAGAAGAAGCACCGGCUAACUCCGUGCCAGCAGCCGCGGUAAUACGGAGGGUGCGAGCGUUAAUCGGAAUUACUGGGCGUAAAGCGCGCGUAGGUGGUUUGCUCAGUCAGAUGUGAAAGCCCCGGGCUUAACCUGGGAACUGCAUUUGAUACUGGCAGACUAGAGUUUGGUAGAGGGUGGUGGAAUUCCCGGUGUAGCGGUGAAAUGCGUAGAGAUCGGGAGGAACAUCAGUGGCGAAGGCGGCCACCUGGACCAAAACUGACGCUGAGGUGCGAAAGCGUGGGUAGCA